Molecule: ribosomal RNA, 333 nt
Filed under: uncultured bacterium
Lineage: Bacteria
Description: bacterial SSU rRNA
Rfam family: Bacterial small subunit ribosomal RNA
Source: RNAcentral
CUCGUAGGCGGCUUGUCGCGUCGGCUGUGAAAACCUGGGGCUCAACCCCGGGCCUGCAGCCGAUACGGGCAAGCUAGAAUUCGGUAGGGGAGACUGGAAUUCCUGGUGUAGCGGUGAAAUGCGCAGAUAUCAGGAGGAACACCGGUGGCGAAGGCGGGUCUCUGGGCCGAUAUUGACGCUGAGGAGCGAAAGCGUGGGGAGCAAACAGGAUUAGAUACCCUGGUAGUCCACGCCGUAAACGUUGGGCGCUAGGUGUGGGCCACAUUCCACGUGGUCUGUGCCGUAGCUAACGCAUUAAGCGCCCCGCCUGGGGAGUACGGCCGCAAGGCUAAA